This 793-nucleotide ribosomal RNA is filed under the name uncultured archaeon. RNAcentral's name for it is "bacterial SSU rRNA". It matches the Rfam family "Archaeal small subunit ribosomal RNA", at positions 85 to 879 of the family's 1478-position model. The record is from RNAcentral.
ACGGCUCAGUAACACGUGGACAACCUACCCUUAGGACGGGGAUAAACCCGGGAAACUGGGUAUAAUACCCGAUAGGUCUCGACUGCUGGAAUGCAUCGAGAUCUAAAGCUCCGGCGCCUAAGGAUGGGUCUGCGGCCUAUCAGGUAGUAGUGGGUGUAGUGUACCUACUAGUCUACGACGGGUACGGGUUGUGAGAGCAAGAGCCCGGAGAUGGAUUCUGAGACACGAAUCCAGGCCCUACGGGGUGCAGCAGGCGCGAAAACUUUACAAUGCUGGAAACAGCGAUAAGGGGACCUCGAGUGCCAGGUUACAAAUCUGGCUGUCGUGAUGCCUAAAAAGCAUUGCAUAGCAAGGGCCGGGCAAGACCGGUGCCAGCCGCCGCGGUAACACCGGCGGCUCGAGUGGUAACCGUUAUUAUUGGGUCUAAAGGGUCUGUAGCCGGCCGGAUAAGUCUCUUGGGAAAUCUGGCAGCUUAACUGUCAGGCUUUCAGGAGAUACUGUCUGGCUCGAGGCCGGGAGAGGUGAGAGGUACUUCAGGGGUAGGGGUGAAAUCUUGUAAUCCUUGAAGGACCACCAGUGGCGAAGGCGUCUCACCAGAACGGACCUGACGGCAAGGGACGAAAGCUAGGGGCACGAACCGGAUUAGAUACCCGGGUAGUCCUAGCCGUAAACGAUACUCGCUAGGUGUCGGCCACGGUGCGACCGUUGUCGGUGCCGUAGGGAAGCCGUGAAGCGAGCCACCUGGGAAGUACGGCCGCAAGGCUGAAACUUAAAGGAAUUGGCGGGGGAGCAC